This 247-nucleotide small RNA is filed under the name Kosakonia sacchari. Lineage: Bacteria; Pseudomonadati; Pseudomonadota; Gammaproteobacteria; Enterobacterales; Enterobacteriaceae. The record is from RNAcentral.
CAAGGCCGGAUGCUGCUUGUGGAAGGAUAACUCACGGAAUGAGGGGUCAGGAGCGCCAGGAGGCGAAGACCGGAGACUAACGUCAGAAGACGUUGAACAAGGAAAAGGAACCGUAACAGGGAACGUUCUACGCUAAGGGAUAAACAGGGCAAGUUGAUAGCGAACACGGAAUGUAAAACCCAUUACGGGUUAAGGGUCAAGAAAAAAGGCGACAGUUUGCACUGUCGCCUUUUUUCUUUGCUUGCUU